Molecule: ribosomal RNA, 731 nt
Filed under: Shewanella baltica
Lineage: Bacteria; Pseudomonadati; Pseudomonadota; Gammaproteobacteria; Alteromonadales; Shewanellaceae
Description: bacterial SSU rRNA
Rfam family: Bacterial small subunit ribosomal RNA
Source: RNAcentral
ACAUGCAAGUCGAGCGGCAGCGGGAAGAUAGCUUGCUAUCUUUGCCGGCGAGCGGCGGACGGGUGAGUAAUGCCUAGGGAUCUGCCCAGUCGAGGGGGAUAACAGUUGGAAACGACUGCUAAUACCGCAUACGCCCUACGGGGGAAAGGAGGGGACCUUCGGGCCUUCCGCGAUUGGAUGAACCUAGGUGGGAUUAGCUAGUUGGUGAGGUAAUGGCUCACCAAGGCGACGAUCCCUAGCUGUUCUGAGAGGAUGAUCAGCCACACUGGGACUGAGACACGGCCCAGACUCCUACGGGAGGCAGCAGUGGGGAAUAUUGCACAAUGGGGGAAACCCUGAUGCAGCCAUGCCGCGUGUGUGAAGAAGGCCUUCGGGUUGUAAAGCACUUUCAGUAGGGAGGAAAGGUAGCAGCUUAAUACGCUGUUGCUGUGACGUUACCUACAGAAGAAGGACCGGCUAACUCCGUGCCAGCAGCCGCGGUAAUACGGAGGGUCCGAGCGUUAAUCGGAAUUACUGGGCGUAAAGCGUGCGCAGGCGGUUUGUUAAGCGAGAUGUGAAAGCCCCGGGCUCAACCUGGGAAUUGCAUUUCGAACUGGCGAACUAGAGUCUUGUAGAGGGGGGUAGAAUUCCAGGUGUAGCGGUGAAAUGCGUAGAGAUCUGGAGGAAUACCGGUGGCGAAGGCGGCCCCCUGGACAAAGACUGACGCUCAGGCACGAAAGCGUGGGGAGCAC